AGAGUUUGAUCAUGGCUCAGAUUGAACGCUGGCGGCAGGCCUAACACAUGCAAGUCGAACGGUAACAGGAAACAGCUUGCUGUUUCGCUGACGAGUGGCGGACGGGUGAGUAAUGUCUGGGAAACUGCCUGAUGGAGGGGGGAUAACUACUGGAAACGGUAGCUAAUACCGCAUAACGUCGCAAGACCAAAGAGGGGGACCUUCGGGCCUCUUGCCAUCAGAUGUGCCCAGAUGGGAUUAGCUAGUAGGUGGGGUAACGGCUCACCUAGGCGACGAUCCCUAGCUGGUCUGAGAGGAUGACCAGCCACACUGGAACUGAGACACGGUCCAGACUCCUACGGGAGGCAGCAGUGGGGAAUAUUGCACAAUGGGCGCAAGCCUGAUGCAGCCAUGCCGCGUGUAUGAAGAAGGCCUUCGGGUUGUAAAGUACUUUCAGCGGGGAGGAAGGGAGUAAAGUUAAUACCUUUGCUCAUUGACGUUACCCGCAGGAGAAGCACCGGCUAACUCCGUGCCAGCAGCCGCGGUAAUACGGAGGGUGCAAGCGUUAAUCGGAAUUACUGGGCGUAAAGCGCACGCAGGCGGUUUGUUAAGUCAGAUGUGAAAUCCCCGGGCUCAACCUGGGAACUGCAUCUGAUACUGGCAAGCUUGAGUCUCGUAGAGGGGGGUAGAAUUCCAGGUGUAGCGGUGAAAUGCGUAGAGAUCUGGAGGAAUACCGGUGGCGAAGGCGGCCCCCUGGACGAAGACUGACGCUCAGGUGCGAAAGCGUGGGGAGCAAACAGGAUUAGAUACCCUGGUAGUCCACGCCGUAAACGAUGUCGACUUGGAGGUUGUGCCCUUGAGGCGUGGCUUCCGGAGCUAACGCGUUAAGUCGACCGCCUGGGGAGUACGGCCGCAAGGUUAAAACUCAAAUGAAUUGACGGGGGCCCGCACAAGCGGUGGAGCAUGUGGUUUAAUUCGAUGCAACGCGAAGAACCUUACCUGGUCUUGACAUCCACGGAAGUUUUCAGAGAUGAGAAUGUGCCUUCGGGAACCGUGAGACAGGUGCUGCAUGGCUGUCGUCAGCUCGUGUUGUGAAAUGUUGGGUUAAGUCCCGCAACGAGCGCAACCCUUAUCCUUUGUUGCCAGCGGUCCGGCCGGGAACUCAAAGGAGACUGCCAGUGAUAAACUGGAGGAAGGUGGGGAUGACGUCAAGUCAUCAUGGCCCUUACGACCAGGGCUACACACGUGCUACAAUGGCGCAUACAAAGAGAAGCGACCUCGCGAGAGCAAGCGGACCUCAUAAAGUGCGUCGUAGUCCGGAUUGGAGUCUGCAACUCGACUCCAUGAAGUCGGAAUCGCUAGUAAUCGUGGAUCAGAAUGCCACGGUGAAUACGUUCCCGGGCCUUGUACACACCGCCCGUCACACCAUGGGAGUGGGUUGCAAAAGAAGUAGGUAGCUUAACCUUCGGGAGGGCGCUUACCACUUUGUGAUUCAUGACUGGGGUGAAGUCGUAACAAGGUAACCGUAGGGGAACCUGCGGUUG
This 1523-nucleotide ribosomal RNA is filed under the name metagenome. Its description in RNAcentral is "bacterial SSU rRNA". It matches the Rfam family "Bacterial small subunit ribosomal RNA". The record is from RNAcentral.